GAUGAACGCUGGCGGUAUGCUUAACACAUGCAAGUCGAACGGUCCUUUCGGGGAUAGUGGCGGACGGGUGAGUAACGCGUGAGAAUCUGCCUUUAGGACGGGGACAACAGUUGGAAACGGCUGCUAAAACCCGAUGUGCCCUUCGGGGUGAAAUAUUUAUAGCCUGAAGAUGAGCUCGCGUCUGAUUAGCUAGUAGGUGAGGUAAAGGCUCACCUAGGCGACGAUCAGUAACUGGUCUGAGAGGAUGACCAGUCACACUGGGACUGAGACACGGCCCAGACUCCUACGGGAGGCAGCAGUGGGGAAUUUUCCGCAAUGGGCGCAAGCCUGACGGAGCAAUACCGCGUGAGGGAGGAAGGCUCUUGGGUCGUAAACCUCUUUUAUCAGGGAAGAACACAAUGACGGUACCUGAUGAAUCAGCAUCGGCUAACUCUGUGCCAGCAGCCGCGGUAAUACAGAGGAUGCAAGCGUUAUCCGGAAUUAUUGGGCGUAAAGCGUCCGCAGGUGGUUUUGAAAGUUUGCUGUCAAAGCGCGAGGCUCAACUUCGUACCGGCGGUGAAAACUUCAAGACUAGAGCUAGGUAGGGGUCACGGGAAUUCCCAGUGUAGCGGUGAAAUGCGUAGAUAUUGGGAAGAACACCAGCGGCGAAAGCGCGUGACUGGGCCUGAGCUGACACUCAUGGACGAAAGCUAGGGGAGCGAAAGGGAUUAGAUACCCCUGUAGUCCUAGCCGUAAACGAUGACAACUAGGUGUUGCCCG
RNAcentral lists this ribosomal RNA (759 nucleotides) under uncultured cyanobacterium. RNAcentral describes it as "bacterial SSU rRNA". It matches the Rfam family "Bacterial small subunit ribosomal RNA", at positions 28 to 829 of the family's 1533-position model. Lineage: Bacteria; Bacillati; Cyanobacteriota. The record is from RNAcentral.